UAUGUUCUUGCCCCCAAAUUUAAAAUGACACACGCAUAUACAAAGAAGAAAGGGAGAAACGGCCAGAAUUUCCUUGACUGCCGCCACAAACCUCUCAUUUUUCUAAAAAAAAAAUGGCAGUUUCACACCUAAUCCCAAAAAGGAAAACGAAGCCACCCCUCCCCCUCCCCCUCCCCAAUUUUCCAAAAAGCUUUAGUCGUAUCCCAAAUGUGAAGAAUUCAGCAACUGAUUAGUGCAUUUGGAAAAAAAGAUGUAUUACACCUCCAAGUUGUUUCGCCAGUAAUGCAAUUCUGCCGAUUUGUAUCAAAAUUGGGGUGUUGAAGUUGUUUGAGGUCGCCGGCGAGGUUCCAUCGAGGUUGUUGUCGUCCAAGGUUUCCGGUCUUGAAACAUUUUCAGAUUCAAAGAGCUGAGUUGUCUCAUGGAUGCCGCCAUAUUGGAGAAAGGUUAAUAGAGAGGAAGACCCCAGUCCUUGGUCAAUCUGCGAUAUAGCUCAAACAG
Non-coding RNA from Nicotiana tabacum (common tobacco), 498 nucleotides. Lineage: Eukaryota; Viridiplantae; Streptophyta; Magnoliopsida; Solanales; Solanaceae. The record is from RefSeq and is a predicted model, not a curated record.